This 393-nucleotide ribosomal RNA is filed under the name Cryptosporidium parvum. RNAcentral describes it as "SSU rRNA". It matches the Rfam family "Eukaryotic small subunit ribosomal RNA", at positions 667 to 1064 of the family's 1831-position model. Lineage: Eukaryota; Apicomplexa; Conoidasida; Eucoccidiorida; Cryptosporidiidae. The record is from RNAcentral.
UUAAUAAAUUAUAUAAAAUAUUUUGAUGAAUAUUUAUAUAAUAUUAACAUAAUUCAUAUUACUAUAUAUUUUAGUAUAUGAAAUUUUACUUUGAGAAAAUUAGAGUGCUUAAAGCAGGCAUAUGCCUUGAAUACUCCAGCAUGGAAUAAUAUUAAAGAUUUUUAUCUUUCUUAUUGGUUCUAAGAUAAGAAUAAUGAUUAAUAGGGACAGUUGGGGGCAUUUGUAUUUAACAGUCAGAGGUGAAAUUCUUAGAUUUGUUAAAGACAAACUAAUGCGAAAGCAUUUGCCAAGGAUGUUUUCAUUAAUCAAGAACGAAAGUUAGGGGAUCGAAGACGAUCAGAUACCGUCGUAGUCUUAACCAUAAACUAUGCCAACUAGAGAUGGGAGGUGGUU